Molecule: ribosomal RNA, 370 nt
Filed under: uncultured eukaryote
Lineage: Eukaryota
Description: partial 18S ribosomal RNA
Rfam family: Eukaryotic small subunit ribosomal RNA
Source: RNAcentral
CAAUAGCGUAUAUUAAAGUUGUUGCAGUUAAAAAGCUCGUAGUUGGACCUUGGACCUGGACAGGCGGUCCGCCUCACGGCGAGUACUGUCUUGCUGGGUCUUUCCUCUUGGUGAUCUGUUGUUUCGGCAGCAGGGAACCAGGACCUUUACUUUGAAAAAAUUAGAGUGUUCAAAGCCGGCUCGACGCCGGAAUAUAUUAGCAUGGAAUAAUAAAAUAGGACGUGCGGUUCUAUUUUGUUGGUUUUUGGAAUCGCCGUAAUGAUUAAUAGGGACAGUCGGGGGCAUUAGUACUCACAUGCUAGAGGUGAAAUUCUUGGAUUUUGUGAAGACUAACUUCUGCGAAAGCAUUUGCCAAGGAUGUUUUCAUUAA